RNAcentral lists this ribosomal RNA (812 nucleotides) under uncultured bacterium. Its description in RNAcentral is "bacterial SSU rRNA". It matches the Rfam family "Bacterial small subunit ribosomal RNA", at positions 68 to 868 of the family's 1533-position model. The record is from RNAcentral.
GGCAGCGGGGUUGUAGCAAUACAACUGCCGGCGACCGGCGCACGGGUGAGUAACACGUAUGUAACCUGCCCUCUGCAGGGGGAUAAGCGGAAGAAAUUCCGUCUAAUACCGCAUAAUACAAUUUGGAGACAUCUCCGGGUUGUCAAAGGAGUGAUCCGGCAGAGGAUGGACAUGCGGCGCAUUAGCUAGUCGGCGGGGUAACGGCCCACCGAGGCUACGAUGCGUAGGGGUUCUGAGAGGAAGGUCCCCCACACUGGUACUGAGACACGGACCAGACUCCUACGGGAGGCAGCAGUGAGGAAUAUUGGUCAAUGGGCGGAAGCCUGAACCAGCCAAGUCGCGUGAGGGAAGACGGUCCUAUGGAUUGUAAACCUCUUUUGCAGGGGAGCAAGGCGCGGUACGUGUACCGCGAAGGAGAGUACCCUGAGAAAAAGCAUCGGCUAACUCCGUGCCAGCAGCCGCGGUAAUACGGAGGAUGCGAGCGUUAUCCGGAUUUAUUGGGUUUAAAGGGUGCGCAGGCGGACUGUUAAGUCAGCGGUAAAAUGUCGGUGCUCAACACCGGCCGGCCGUUGAAACUGGCAGCCUUGAGUGAGCGAGAAGUAUGCGGAAUGCGUGGUGUAGCGGUGAAAUGCAUAGAUAUCACGCAGAACUCCGAUUGCGAAGGCAGCAUACCGGCGCUCAACUGACGCUCAGGCACGAAAGCGUGGGUAUCGAACAGGCUUAGAUACCCUGGUAGUCCACGCAGUAAACGAUGAAUGCUCACUGUCCGGGCCGUUUAAGGCCUGGGUGGUCAAGCGAAAGCGUUAAGCAUU